Molecule: ribosomal RNA, 254 nt
Filed under: uncultured bacterium
Lineage: Bacteria
Description: partial 16S ribosomal RNA
Rfam family: Bacterial small subunit ribosomal RNA
Source: RNAcentral
UACGGGGGGAGCAAGCGUUGUUCGGAUUUACUGGGCGUAAAGGGCGCGUAGGCGGCCAGCACAAGUCAGUUGUGAAAUCUCCGAGCUUAACUCGGAAACUGCCGUUGAUACUAUAGAUCUUGAAUAUCGCGUAGGUAAGCGGAAUAUGUCAUGUAGCGGUGAAAUGCUUAGAUAUGACAUAGAACACCAAUUGCGAAGGCAGCUUACUUCACGAUCAUUGACACUGAGGCACGAAAGCGUGGGGAGCAAACAGG